This 20-nucleotide unclassified non-coding RNA is filed under the name Mus musculus (house mouse). Its description in RNAcentral is "oocyte_clustered_small_RNA9387". The record is from RNAcentral. Lineage: Eukaryota; Metazoa; Chordata; Mammalia; Rodentia; Muridae.
UCGCUUCCAGGGCCCGCAAA